Molecule: RNA transcript, 1577 nt
Organism: Lampris incognitus (smalleye Pacific opah)
Lineage: Eukaryota; Metazoa; Chordata; Actinopteri; Lampriformes; Lampridae
Gene: btr02
Gene name: bloodthirsty-related gene family, member 2
Exons: 9
Source: RefSeq, a predicted model, not a curated record
GGGCCACAUUGGGAGUCUGGUUAUCGCAGCAGCUGAAACAGGAGCCGACUGGGAAUGAACUGUGAGUGCCAUCUCCUGAGUCGUGUAAGAGCAUGGCCUCUACCAUCGGCCUCCUCUCCGAGAAGCACUUCUUGUGUCCUCUGUGCAGAGAGAUAUUCAGCAGCCCGGUGACCAUUCCGUGUGGACACAGCUUCUGCAAGGCCUGCCUCUGUCAGCACUGGACCCAACACCACUCCAACUACUGCCCUAAAUGUAGGAGGGUGUUUGCUGCAAAGCUUGACCUCAGUGUCAACCACAUCCUGGCAGAUGUCACAGACAAUUACAGGAGGAGUCGCCCAGAGAAACCAGCGGUCCAGGAGAAGGUUCUAGAUGUCGAGCAAAUGAUUCAGGAGAGGCUCCAGAAGAUAGAAAGGCUCAAAUGUUCCCUCCAGCUCGUGAAGAGCUCCUGUCUCAGAGAGGUUCGUGAGAGCCAGAAGGUGUUCUCUGCCCUGGUCAACUCCAUGGAGAGGAGUCACAAAGCAGUGGUCGCCGCGAUUGAAGAGAGGCAGCAAGAAGAGGAAUGCAGGGUUGAAACGCUGGUGAAGGAGCUCAAGCAGGAGAUCAAACAGCUGAGGAACGGCAACCUCAAAUCAACUUCUCAGAUUCUUGUAAACGGUGAAGAAAGUGAUGAUAAGGAGCAGGUUACUUUGAGCAUCGCUUCCGAGAUGAAGGACUGGUCCAGGGUUACAGUGGAAAGUGACCCGUGCGUGGGGAUCACCAGAAGAGCGUUGUCGGACAUGAUGGAUAGGAUGAAGGAAGAGCUCAACAGGCUGUCAAAGUCUGAACUCAAGAGGAUACAGAAAUACACCGUGGAGGUAAAUCUGAGCCCCAAGACAGCUCAUCCCUUCCUCUCAGUCUCAGAGGACAGAAAACAGGUGAGACACACUGGCAAACUCCAGGAGGUGCCGGACAACUCCAAGAGGUUCGACCGCGUCGUGAACAUCCUAAGCAAAGAGAGCUUCAGCAGCGGGAGGUACUACUGGGAGGUGGAGGUUGGAGAGAAGGCUGAGUGGCACCUGGGUGUAGUCAGACAGUCUAUAAACAGGAAGGGCAAGUUCACCGUCUGCCCAGCCAACGGCUUCUGGACUUUGUGCCUGAAGACUGGAGGCCAGUACGUGGCUAACACCUCCCCCGUCUCCUCGGUGGCACUUGAACAGAGACCUGGAAAGAUUGGCGUGUUUCUAGAUUACACAGAAGGACGGGUUUCUUUCUACUGUGCUGACUCCGGGGUCCACAUCCACACCUUCGUGGAUAAGUUUACCGACAGGCUCCAUCCGUUGUUCAGUCCCGGUCGGCUGCACGGUGGCAAAAACGCCGCUCCCCUCAUCAUCAUCUCAAGCUGCUGCAGCAUCUGAACCUCAUCACAAACACAAUGUGGCAUCUCACGUUGGCACCUCCGUUUAUGAAUGCAUUUCUCAUCCUUUCAAUAACGUUUUCAUCAUCAAGCCAGUGACCUCCCCUGAGCAGCCGAGACAGAUUCCCCGCGGCUCUCCGGUUCUCCAGUGGACCGAACUGAAUUCUCAGGGCCUCUGCCAACC